Molecule: ribosomal RNA, 422 nt
Filed under: uncultured bacterium
Lineage: Bacteria
Description: partial 16S ribosomal RNA
Rfam family: Bacterial small subunit ribosomal RNA
Source: RNAcentral
AUUAUUCGACUAUUGGGGCUACCUUGAUCCAGCCAUGCCGCGAGUGUGAAGAUGGCCUUUUGGUAGUAAAGCACCUUAAGCAAGGUGGAGGCUACUCUAGUUAAUACUUAGGGACCGUGGACGUUACUCGCAGAAUAAGUAUCGUUUAACUCUUUGCCAGCAGCCGCGGUAAUACAGAGGGUGCAAGCGUUAAUCGGAUUUACUGGGCGGAAAGCGCGCGUAGGUGGCCAAUUAAGUCAAAUGUGAAAUCCCCGAGCUUAACUUGGGAAUUGCAUUCGAUACUGGUUGGCUAGGGUAUGGGGGAGAAUGGUAGAAUUCCAGGUGUAGCGGUGAAAUGCGUAGAGAUCUGGAGGAAUACCGAUGGCGAAGGCAGCCAUCUGGCCUAAUACUGACACUGAGGUGCGAAAGCAUGGGGAGCAAAC